UCCAGACUCCUACGGGAGGCAGCAGUGAGGAAUAUUGGUCAAUGGUCGGGAGACUGAACCAGUCAAGCCGCGUGAGGGAGGAAGGUACAGAGUAUCGUAAACCUCUUUUGUCAGGGAACAAAGACUGGGACGCGUCCCCGGAUGAGUGUACCUGAAGAAAAAGCAUCGGCUAACUCCGUGCCAGCAGCCGCGGUAAUACGGAGGAUGCGAGCGUUAUCCGGAUUUAUUGGGUUUAAAGGGUGCGCAGGCGGUCUGUUAAGUCAGCUGUGAAAGUCCGCGGCUCAACCGUGGAAUUGCAGUUGAAACUGGAGGCCUUGAGUGCACACAGGGAUGCCGGAAUUCAUGGUGUAGCGGUGAAAUGCUUAGAUAUCAUGAAGAACUCCGAUCGCGAAGGCAAGUGUCCGGGGUGCAACUGACGCUGAGGCUCGAAAGUGCGGGUAUCAAACAGGAUUAGAUACCCGCGUACAU
RNAcentral lists this ribosomal RNA (468 nucleotides) under uncultured bacterium. RNAcentral describes it as "bacterial SSU rRNA". It matches the Rfam family "Bacterial small subunit ribosomal RNA", at positions 330 to 795 of the family's 1533-position model. The record is from RNAcentral.